Molecule: ribosomal RNA, 375 nt
Filed under: uncultured bacterium
Lineage: Bacteria
Description: bacterial SSU rRNA
Rfam family: Bacterial small subunit ribosomal RNA
Source: RNAcentral
UACGUAGGUGACGAGCGUUAUCCGGAAUUACUGGGCGUAAAGCGCACGCAAGCGGUUGGACAAGUCUGGCGUGAAAUCUCCUGGCUUAACUAGGAGCGGUCGCUGGAGACUGUUCGGCUUGAGGCGAUGAGAGGGGUGCAGAAUUCCCGGUGUAGUGGUGGAAUGCGUAGAGAUCGGGAGGAAUACCAGUGGCGAAAGCGGCACCCUGGCGUCGUACUGACGCACAUGUGCGAAAGCGUGGGGAGCGAACGGGAUUAGAUACCCCGGUAGUCCACGCGGUAAACGAUGAACACUAGGUGUGGGUGGAGUCCAUCUGUCCGUGCCAAAGCCAACGCGUUAAGUGUUCCGCCUGGGAAGUACGGCCGCAAGGCUAAA